GGGGUUGUAGCUCAGUAGGUAGAGCGGUGGUUUGAAAGUCCACAGGUCAGAGGUUCAAUUCCUCUCGGCCCCACCA
This 76-nucleotide transfer RNA is filed under the name Serratia phage vB_SmaM-ChuuTotoro. Its description in RNAcentral is "tRNA-Phe". It matches the Rfam family "tRNA". Rfam says of the family: Transfer RNA (tRNA) molecules are approximately 80 nucleotides in length. Their secondary structure includes four short double-helical elements and three loops (D, anti-codon, and T loops). Further hydrogen bonds mediate the characteristic L-shaped molecular structure. tRNAs have two regions of fundamental functional importance: the anti-codon, which is responsible for specific mRNA codon recognition, and the 3' end, to which the tRNAs corresponding amino acid is attached (by aminoacyl-tRNA synthetases). tRNAs cope with the degeneracy of the genetic code in two manners: having more than one tRNA (with a specific anti-codon) for a particular amino acid; and 'wobble' base-pairing, i.e. permitting non-standard base-pairing at the 3rd anti-codon position. The record is from RNAcentral. Lineage: Duplodnaviria; Heunggongvirae; Uroviricota; Caudoviricetes.